GCAACUACCUCUGUGAUCUCACCAAGGCCAACAAUGCCUUCUCAGCCAGCCUCAGGCAGGCAGAGUAGGGAAACCAAACAGGAAAUCUCCUUAUUCCCUAGAAUUCAGGAGCUGAAAACACUUCCUCCCUAAGUUUCAAUAGGCCCAGUGCCCAAGCAGUGCCUGGUGCCACAUAGAAGCUGUAGUCAUCAAUUCCAGGCUCCACUGGGCACUGAUAGGGGACCCAGCUAUUCCCAAGAUGGGUCAGUAUACACAUGGGCUUUGGAGGAAGGGUGAGUCACUUUCUGGCUCUUCCUGAGGAGGGAUUGUGGUAUCCGGCCUGAGGGUAGAAACCAUGUGUCCACUUGGCAACUGUGUCCACCAGGCCACAUCCCAGAGAGCGACCUCAGGGACUUCCACAGAGAUGCUGAGGAGAGCUGUGGACACUGCUCGGGAAAGCGGAGACAGAGCAGAGAGCUCUCCCUCCCCUCCUACCCCUGAAAUGGCCGUUCAUUAGAGUCACCCUUCAUUAGAGUCUCAGGGCUCAGAAAAGAAGGGAAGGAAAGAGUGAAUGACGGCAAGAGGGCCACAACUUUGGUAAACUUACCCCUGGAGCACAGCCUGCGCACAGCUGAAGCAGAGCUAAGUGGGAGGCCACAGGAGGAGAGCAAAGGCCUGUACCCAGAGGUUCGAAGAUUUUGAGAGGUGCUAACAAGUCGGUAAAGCAAGAAGGAAAGGUGGCUAAAGAGUCCUCUUAUCUGCAGGAUUCCCAGCUGCCAAGGAGGAGUAGGAGGAAGUUGGUUGUGCCCAGCUGCUGCCAGCCCAAACUGCAUGACCAAAUGCUCUGGGAACACAGCCUGCUGGGAGAACAGCCCAGAACUGGCACUAUCUUCUGUGCACUGAAAAGAAAAUCCGAACAAUUUCCCAGAUGUAUGUACUUUCAUUUUGGGUAUUUGGUUGCCUCACAUAUUUUUUGUAUAUCUUAACUUAUGUGUAAAGAGCUAUGGGGCCAUAGCAAUAUUAUCAAGAUUGUGCUUGCAUGUUUGGUCAAUGACACUGAUCACCUGCUUUGCUUUCUAUCUGGGCACUGAAGUCCCUCUGCUAUCUUCUACAUCAACAUGCAGAAAAUAUUUUGAAAU
Long non-coding RNA from Talpa occidentalis (Iberian mole), 1118 nucleotides. RefSeq lists it as uncharacterized. Lineage: Eukaryota; Metazoa; Chordata; Mammalia; Eulipotyphla; Talpidae. The record is from RefSeq and is a predicted model, not a curated record. The transcript has 6 exons.